GAUGAACGCUGGCGGCGUGCCUAAUACAUGCAAGUCGAGCGAACAGAUGAGGAGCUUGCUCCUCUGACGUUAGCGGCGGACGGGUGAGUAACACGUGGAUAACCUACCUAUAAGACUGGGAUAACUUCGGGAAACCGGAGCUAAUACCGGAUAAUAUAUUGAACCGCAUGGUUCAAUAGUGAAAGACGGUUUUGCUGUCACUUAUAGAUGGAUCCGCGCCGCAUUAGCUAGUUGGUAAGGUAACGGCUUACCAAGGCGACGAUGCGUAGCCGACCUGAGAGGGUGAUAGGCCACACGGGAACUGAGACACGGUCCAGACUCCUACGGGAGGCAGCAGUAGGGAAUCUUCCGCAAUGGGCGAAAGCCUGACGGAGCAACGCCGCGUGAGUGAUGAAGGUCUUCGGAUCGUAAAACUCUGUUAUUAGGGAAGAACAAAUGUGUAAGUAACUAUGCACGUCUUGACGGUACCUAAUCAGAAAGCCACGGCUAACUACGUG
RNAcentral lists this ribosomal RNA (497 nucleotides) under uncultured bacterium. Its description in RNAcentral is "partial 16S ribosomal RNA". It matches the Rfam family "Bacterial small subunit ribosomal RNA", at positions 28 to 507 of the family's 1533-position model. The record is from RNAcentral.